Molecule: long non-coding RNA, 2067 nt
Filed under: Monodelphis domestica (gray short-tailed opossum)
Lineage: Eukaryota; Metazoa; Chordata; Mammalia; Didelphimorphia; Didelphidae
Description: lncRNA (ENSMODG00000049865.1)
Source: RNAcentral
GGCCAGCAUGGAUGGAGAGCUGGUUUUGGAGCCUUGAUGAAUAGACAGCGAAUCUUGGACCUGGAUUCAAAUCCUCAUCCCUGACACCUGCCUGCUGUGUAAUCCUGGGAAAGUCCCUUAACUUGAGUCCUUUGGGUAAGUUGGAGAAGAAGGUGCUGAAGCGCAUUGGUAGGGGGAGUUCUUGACCAGGAGCUCCUGAUAUCGACGAAAUCCAGUGCCUGUCCCUAGGAUUGAAAAUACCUGCUGCCUCUUUGGGAUUACAUGCCAUAGAGUUUCAUAAUAAAGCAAAAGUUUUAUUGCAACCUGAAUUAUAGAGUUUUUAAGAGAAAUCAAGUUUUAUGACUCAUUCAACAGAUAUUUCAUAUAAGUAAACUAUAUAUAAUUUACAUAUGGAAAUCAAAAUGAAAACUGACUGUUUAAUCUAGCAUUCAUUAACCAGACCCAUUUUAGACCUGUUUUAAUGAAUAAAAUCAUUAAAAGUAUACCAAUCUCGGUGGAUUGAGAGCCAGGCCUAGAGAGGGGAGGUCCUAGGAUCAAAUCUGGCCUCAGACACUUCCCAGCUGUGUGACCCUGGGCAAGUCACUUGACCCUCAUUGACUAGCCCUUACCACUCUUCUGCCUUGGAACCAAUACACAGUAUUGACUCCAAGACAGAGGUAAGGGUUUAAAAAAAAUGUAUGCCAAUCAAUAAAAAAAAAAAAGACAUUUCCCUUAAGAAAGUUAGCUGCCACUCCCCAGCUUUAAAAAACCUAUCAAUUUGCUUUAAAACCCUAGGGCAUCUAGGUAGCACAAUGAAUAGAGUCCCAAGCCUGAAGGAUUUGGAUUCAAAUCUUGUCUUGGACACUUCUUAGCUACAUGACCCUGAACUGGUCACUUAAUCCAAAUGACUACUCUUCUGCCUUGGAACCAAUACUUAAAAUCACUUCUAAGGCUGAAGGUAAGAGUUGGUUUUUUUUUUAAAGAAAGAAACAAGGCCUGUAAUGAUGCCACUGAAAGGUGUAAAACAGAAUUUCUUUCUUUUCCUCAUUCCCCAUCUUUCCCACUCUGCUUCUCUCUUCUCCUCCCCACCUUCUUUUCUCACUUCUGCCUCAAUCCUCUGUUUUCCUAGCCCUUCCCUUCUUAGAUUCUGCUCAGAACAGCACUGCAGGGGGAGGAGAUUUAAAAAAAGAAGAGAUUUUAUGGUCUCAUCUACUUACUUCAACACAUGCAUGAUGCUUUCUUCCCAGCAGCUGGAAGUCACUAACACCCUGGCUACUGAGGACAAAGUCAUUAAGACCAUCGUAUAUGAAUCAACUCAGCUAUUGAAGAUCAUUGGGCAGGAGGUUGUCACCAAGAUGGGCUGAACAAAAAGCUGCCCAUGAGAGUCGAAGCACCAACUUCCAAAAUCUCCUCUUGUUCCAUAAAUAUCUCCUGUCCCAUAGAUAUGUUCUGACCUGCUACCUUGGCUAACAUUUCCUCCAUUAAAGUUAUUCUUUUGGGUCUCUAAGAGAUCUAUUUGAAAUUCAAAAGCUUAUUUAGAGGCAGUACAUUCCUCAUUACCAGCUAAAUUCUUGGAAGCACCUAGUAGGGCUCUGAAGGAGAGGAAACACAGAAUAGGUGAGUUUUUUGGGUGACAAAUGGUAGGGAAAAGGCUGAGUACAUGAGGCAUUGAUUGAAGAAGGUAGAGUAAGGUGGAAAAACUGGAAAUCUAAAAAAAGGAAAAAUAACCAAAAAAAAGAAGAUGGAGUCUCCGAAGACCGUAGCUUUGCCCAGAGCCUUGAUGAGGGGCUGCCUCAUAUUUGACUUGAGGGCAGCUAGAUGGUGCAGUGGAAAACUUGGCCUGGAGACAGGAAGACUUUAGUUCAUGUCUAGUCUCAGACACUUACUAGCUGUGCAUUUCUGGGCAAAUCAUGUAACCCUGUUUGCCUCAGGUUCCUCAUCUGUAAAAUUGCAAACCACUCUAGAAUAUUUGCCAAGAAAAUUCCCAAUAGGGUCAUGAAAAUUCAGACAUGACUGAGCAACAACAAAAUGCAGUGUGAUUUAGAGCCAAGGGUCUCUUUACCUAAUAAAGCUUUCCCGUGCCAACCA